GCCGGCAGCUAGCUCUCUGUAACUCCCACAUGGAAGCUAAGCAGGGCUGCGCCUGGUCAAUAGUUGGUGGGAGACCACAUGGGAAAGCUAGGUUGCUGCCGGAA
Molecule: ribosomal RNA, 104 nt
Filed under: Danio rerio (zebrafish)
Lineage: Eukaryota; Metazoa; Chordata; Actinopteri; Cypriniformes; Danionidae
Source: RNAcentral